UUAAACCUGGACCUGGUUAGCAGUGAGGUGUGUGCCCUUCCCCACAUCAACAGGAUCCAAGUGCAUAGCCGUCUCCGUGACAGUUCAUCUCUUACAAAGAAGGAAGGCCAGUGACUGCUACCCAUGGGGAUGAUGGAACCAUUGAGGAAAAGAGGAUUCCAACAUAGGUUUGCCCUGAAUUCAAAAAUGAACACACUCUCCACAUGGAAGAACUGAGGCUCAGGGAACAUCAUGGAAGAAGGAAAAAAAGGUGCUUCAUAGCCUCACCCAGAAACUAAUGUCUUAAAAGAAGAGCAUGAAGAGGUGAUUAUGAAGAGGGCUUCCUUACAAACUGACAGAAGGAUGUCAUCUG
Molecule: long non-coding RNA, 352 nt
Filed under: Mus musculus (house mouse)
Lineage: Eukaryota; Metazoa; Chordata; Mammalia; Rodentia; Muridae
Description: predicted gene, 49257
Source: RNAcentral